AGAGAUCUGGAGGAAUACCGGUGGCGAAGGCGGCCCCCUGGACGAAGACUGACGCUCAGGUGCGAAAGCGUGGGGAGCAAACAGGAUUAGAUACCCUGGUAGUCCACGCCGUAAACGAUGUCGACUUGGAGGUUGUGCCCUUGAGGCGUGGCUUCCGGAGCUAACGCGUUAAGUCGACCGCCUGGGGAGUACGGCCGCAAGGUUAAAACUCAAAUGAAUUGACGGGGGCCCGCACAAGCGGUGGAGCAUGUGGUUUAAUUCGAUGCAACGC
RNAcentral lists this ribosomal RNA (271 nucleotides) under Escherichia coli. Its description in RNAcentral is "partial 16S ribosomal RNA". It matches the Rfam family "Bacterial small subunit ribosomal RNA", at positions 692 to 962 of the family's 1533-position model. The record is from RNAcentral. Lineage: Bacteria; Pseudomonadati; Pseudomonadota; Gammaproteobacteria; Enterobacterales; Enterobacteriaceae.